GUGGGGAAUCUUGCGCAAUGGGCGAAAGCCUGACGCAGCCAUGCCGUGUGAAUGAUGAAGGUCUUAGGAUUGUAAAAUUCUUUCACCGGGGACGAUAAUGACGGUACCCGGAGAAGAAGCUCCGGCUAACUUCGUGCCAGCAGCCGCGGUAAUACGAAGGGGGCUAGCGUUGCUCGGAAUUACUGGGCGUAAAGGGCGCGUAGGCGGACAGCUUAGUCAGAGGUGAAAGCCCAGGGCUCAACCUUGGAAUUGCGUUUGAUACUGGCUGUCUUGAGUUUGGGAGAGGUGAGUGGAACUCCGAGUGUAGAGGUGAAAUUCGUAGAUAUUCGGAAGAACACCAGUGGCGAAGGCGACUCACUGGCCCAAUACUGACGCUGAGGCGCGAAAGCGUGGGGAGCAAACAGGAUUAGAAACCCUGGUAGUCC
This 425-nucleotide ribosomal RNA is filed under the name uncultured bacterium. RNAcentral describes it as "partial 16S ribosomal RNA". It matches the Rfam family "Bacterial small subunit ribosomal RNA", at positions 354 to 796 of the family's 1533-position model. The record is from RNAcentral.